UGUUAUGUUUCNGAGCCCUACCUACCCGC
Molecule: non-coding RNA, 29 nt
Filed under: Mus musculus (house mouse)
Lineage: Eukaryota; Metazoa; Chordata; Mammalia; Rodentia; Muridae
Source: RNAcentral